GACGAACGCUGGCGGCGUGCUUAGCACAUGCAAGUCGAACGGAAAGGCUCCAGCUUGCUGGAGUACUCGAGUGGCGAACGGGUGAGUAACACGUGGGUAAUCUGCCCUGCACUCUGGGAUAAGCCUGGGAAACUGGGUCUAAUACUGGAUAUGACCUUUCUCCUUAUGGGGUUUGGUGGAAAGUUUUUCGGUGUAGGAUUAGCCCGCGGCCUAUCAGCUUGUUGGUGGGGUGAUGGCCUACCAAGGCGACGACGGGUAGCCGGCCUGAGAGGGUGAUCGGCCACAUUGGGACUGAGAUACGGACCAGACUCCUACGGGAGGCAGCAGUGGGGAAUAUUGCACAAUGGGCGGAAGCCUGAUGCAGCGACGCCGCGUGAGGGAUGACGGCCUUCGGGUUGUAAACCUCUUUCAGCAGGGACGAAGCGUAAGUGACGGUACCUGCAGAAGAAGCACCGGCUAACUAUGUG
RNAcentral lists this ribosomal RNA (467 nucleotides) under uncultured bacterium. Its description in RNAcentral is "partial 16S ribosomal RNA". It matches the Rfam family "Bacterial small subunit ribosomal RNA", at positions 28 to 507 of the family's 1533-position model. The record is from RNAcentral.